CGCACCCGCGCAAUGGCUCUCGCGCGCUGCUUGCUAUCGACUAUGUCGGGAUUGAUGACCGAAGACAUACCAAACUUCUUUCAGGCUCACACCGAUUUGAAUGAUACUAACGUUAGUAAAAUAGGAUGUCCAGACCGGUGCUGUCCGAUCCUAUGAAAUACUUGCGGCAUGCACGUUUUUGUCACUAUUGCCCGCUAUUGGCGCGGCGGCCGCGUCAAACGAACGCAACCGGACGUCCUCGUCCGCAUUGCGAUAAAGUGUCGUGCGCUGCCUCGGAUUGCGCCCGGCCGAAAGGAUGAUCGCUUCCAUGUCUUGCGG
RNAcentral lists this unclassified non-coding RNA (318 nucleotides) under Hevea brasiliensis (rubber tree). Lineage: Eukaryota; Viridiplantae; Streptophyta; Magnoliopsida; Malpighiales; Euphorbiaceae. The record is from RNAcentral.